UCUCGUCUGUGCCUGUAAAUCAACAAAACCAACAAUCCCGGCGCAGCCACGGUUUCCCUGGUGUUGGCGCAGUAUUCGCGCACCCCGGUUUAUC
Molecule: small RNA, 94 nt
Filed under: Enterobacter kobei
Lineage: Bacteria; Pseudomonadati; Pseudomonadota; Gammaproteobacteria; Enterobacterales; Enterobacteriaceae
Description: ArcZ RNA
Rfam family: ArcZ RNA
About the family: This RNA was discovered in E. coli during a large scale screen.
Source: RNAcentral